AAUAGUCCUCGUUAGGCGAGGCUCCUAUACAAACACAGGCUGCUGCCCGGGAACAUCGAAAGAUGCCUACGGGUAGAACAGGGAUUGUCGGCAUAAGGCUUUCCAUAAGGCAGCUAAGAAAUGAUGAUAUUUCUUUACGUUGUAUAGUGCCAAAACUCAACCAGGGGGAGCCGGA
Molecule: small RNA, 175 nt
Filed under: Bacillus sp. (in: firmicutes)
Lineage: Bacteria; Bacillati; Bacillota; Bacilli; Caryophanales; Bacillaceae
Also listed under: 1 other name
Description: Bacillus sp. Magnesium sequence
Rfam family: M-box riboswitch aptamer (ykoK leader)
About the family: M-box riboswitch, also know as ykoK leader is described as a metaloregulatory RNA that sense divalent metals and function as a genetic control element of genes related to divalent metal transport in bacteria.
Source: RNAcentral